ACGGGUGAGUAAUACAUCGGAACGUGCCCAGUCGUGGGGGAUAACUACUCGAAAGAGUAGCUAAUACCGCAUACGAUCUGAGGAUGAAAGCGGGGGACCUUCGGGCCUCGCGCGAUUGGAGCGGCCGAUGGCAGAUUAGGUAGUUGGUGGGAUAAAAGCUUACCAAGCCGACGAUCUGUAGCUGGUCUGAGAGGACGACCAGCCACACUGGGACUGAGACACGGCCCAGACUCCUACGGGAGGCAGCAGUGGGGAAUUUUGGACAAUGGGCGAAAGCCUGAUCCAGCAAUGCCGCGUGCAGGAUGAAGGCCUUCGGGUUGUAAACUGCUUUUGUACGGAACGAAAAAGCUCCUUCUAAUACAGGGGGCCCAUGACGGUACCGUAAGAAUAAGCACCGGCUAACUACGUGCCAGCAGCCGCGGUAAUACGUAGGGUGCGAGCGUUAAUCGGAAUUACUGGGCGUAAAGCGUGCGCAGGCGGUUAUGUAAGACAGAUGUGAAAUCCCCGGGCUCAACCUGGGAACUGCAUUUGUGACUGCAUGGCUAGAGUACGGUAGAGGGGGAUGGAAUUCCGCGUGUAGCAGUGAA
RNAcentral lists this ribosomal RNA (587 nucleotides) under uncultured Delftia sp. RNAcentral describes it as "bacterial SSU rRNA". It matches the Rfam family "Bacterial small subunit ribosomal RNA", at positions 102 to 685 of the family's 1533-position model. Lineage: Bacteria; Pseudomonadati; Pseudomonadota; Betaproteobacteria; Burkholderiales; Comamonadaceae. The record is from RNAcentral.